UUAAGUUCAGCGGGUAACCCUGUCUGAUCCGAGGUCAACCUGAGAUGGCGGUUGAGACGGGUCCGGAAAGGCCGGGGAUGCGUGCUGUGUACAGCUCGCUGCAUCAACGGUCUACAGGACCCGCCAUUAGCUUUCGGGUCAACCGCGUAGGCGGUGGAGACCCAACGACAAGCCGAGCUUGAGAUUGGACUAAUGACGCU
RNAcentral lists this unclassified non-coding RNA (200 nucleotides) under Verrucariales sp. RNAcentral's name for it is "partial internal transcribed spacer 2". The record is from RNAcentral. Lineage: Eukaryota; Fungi; Ascomycota; Eurotiomycetes; Verrucariales.